UGGGGAAUUUUGGACAAUGGGCGCAAGCCUGAUCCAGCAAUGCCGCGUGCAGGAUGAAGGCCUUCGGGUUGUAAACUGCUUUUGUACGGAGCGAAAAGGUCUGCCCUAAUACGGUGGGCUCAUGACGGUACCGUAAGAAUAAGCACCGGCUAACUACGUGCCAGCAGCCGCGGUAAUACGGAGGGUGCAAACGUUGCUCGGAAUCAUUGGGCGUAAAGCGCACGUAGGCGGCGAAGCAAGUCGGGUGUGAAAUCCCCGGGCUUAACCUGGGAAUUGCAUUUGUGACUGCAUCGCUGGAGUGCGGCAGAGGGGGAUGGAAUUCCGCGUGUAGCAGUGAAAUGCGUAGAUAUGCGGAGGAACACCGAUGGCGAAGGCAAUCCCCUGGACCUGUACUGACGCUCAUGCACGAAAGCGUGGGGAGCAAACA
RNAcentral lists this ribosomal RNA (427 nucleotides) under uncultured bacterium. Its description in RNAcentral is "bacterial SSU rRNA". It matches the Rfam family "Bacterial small subunit ribosomal RNA", at positions 355 to 774 of the family's 1533-position model. The record is from RNAcentral.